CAGUGAUCAUUCCCCUUAUGGCUGUGUGUAAUAGCUGCUGUAGUCUCUGGGUCCCCCGGUAGCUCUCUCUCUCUGUGUCCCUGCUGGCUGUGAGCGAGCUUUACGAUACAAUGUAUCUACCCGUAGCCCAGCUGGAACCCGGAGCUAUCUAUCCAGGCUGCCCCUCACACAUUACUACACUCCCAGCACUGAGAGCUCCACACCGGACUGCCUCUGCUUCAUCUCUGCUAUUGAGCGGGGAUCUAACUUAGCUCCAUGGCUAACUGUCCAAGCUCCCUUAGAACAAAGCUCCAUUGCUAACUGUCCCCGCUCCCUUAGAACAGAGCUCCAUGACUAACUGUCCCCGCUCCCUUAGAACAGAGCUCCAUGACUAACUGUCCAAGCUCCCUUAGAAGAGAGCUCCAGGGCUAACUGUCCCCGGUCCCUUAGAACAGAGCUCCAUGACUAAAUGUCCCAGCUCCCUUAGAACUAUCCCAGUUCCCUUAGAACAGAGCUCCGUUGCUGUCUCAGCUCCCUUAGAACAGAGCUCCAUGGCUGUCUCAGCUCCCUUAGAAUAGAGCUCCAUGGCUGUCUCAGCUCCAUUAGAACAGAGCUCCAGGACUAACUGUCCAAGCUCCCUUAGAACAGAGCUCCAUGACUAACUGUCCAAGCUCCCUUAGAACAGAGCUCCAUGGCUAACUGUCCAGCUCCCUUAGAACAGAGCUCCAUGACUAACUGUCCAAGCUCCCUUAGAACAGAGCUCCAUUGCUAUCUAGCAAUAACUCAGCUCCCUUAGAACAGAACUCCAUAACUAACUGUUUCUGCACCAGCUUCCAUUAGAGCAGAGCUCCAUGGCUAGCUGUUUCUGCACCAGCUCUCAUCAGAACAGAGCUCCAUGGCUAACCGACUCUACUUGAGCUCUCUUUGAACAGAGUUCCAUUGCUAUCUGACACUAGCUCAGCUCCCCUUGAACAGAGCUCCAUAACUAUCUGACAAUAAAUCCGCUCCCUUAGAACAGAGCUCCGUGCCUUGCUGGUUCUACCUUGUCUGGAAUAUACCAGAGCUCCAAAUAGCUCCAGGCAUGAGGUAUCUGAGCACAUUCACCAGAGUCUCACCCCAGACUCGCUGUCACUUUGACCAGACACUAAAGUCCAGUCUUUAGCUGACUGUCUUAACUCAGUCACCAGAUUCCUAUGAAAUGGUGGCUGUCCCUUAACUCAGUCACCAGAUUCCCAUCACAGACUGACUGUCUAAUAGCUCCAAUAACCAGAGUCCCAUCCCAGACAGGCUGUCUCUUAACUCUCUCAUCAGAAUCCCAUCCCAGGGUGGUUGUCCCUUAACUCCAGUAACAAGAAUCCUACCCCAGGCUGACUGUCUAAUAGAGUCCCAUCCCAGGCCGACUGUCUAAUUGCUCCAAUAACCGGUGUCCCAUCCCAGCCUGGCUGUCUAAUAGAGUCCCAUUUAAAGCUGGCUGUCCCUGUUAAGCAAAGAGUUUCCUUUGCUAUCUCUACUGACACAGACCCAGCCUGCCUCUCUCACAGCUGCCCUGAGGCAUAGCCCUAAAGCCCAGUCUCUGUGCAGGAUGCUGGGGUUAGGAAUGCCCACUGACUGCUUCUGUUUGCCAUCCCAUCCCAC
This 1614-nucleotide long non-coding RNA is filed under the name Pelobates cultripes (western spadefoot toad). The record is from RNAcentral. Lineage: Eukaryota; Metazoa; Chordata; Amphibia; Anura; Pelobatidae.